UACGGAGGGGGCAAGCGUUAUUCGGAAUUAUUGGGCGUAAAGGGCGCGUAGGCGGCUAGAUGUGUCAAAGGUGAAAUCCCUCGGCUCAACUGAGGAACUGCCUUUGAAACUGUCUGGCUUGAGGCCGGGAGAGGGUAGCGGAAUUCCCAGUGUAGCGGUGAAAUGCGUAGAUAUUGGGAGGAACACCAGUGGCGAAGGCGGGUCUCUGGGCAGUAACUGACGCUGAGGAGCGAAAGCGUGGGGAGCGAACAGG
Molecule: ribosomal RNA, 253 nt
Filed under: uncultured bacterium
Lineage: Bacteria
Description: partial 16S ribosomal RNA
Rfam family: Bacterial small subunit ribosomal RNA
Source: RNAcentral